GCUGGGCAUGGUGGCACAUUCCUGUAGUCCCAGCUACUCGGGAGGCUGAGGCAGGAGAAUUGCCUGAACCCAGGAGGCGGAGGUUGCGGUGAGCCGAGAUUGUGCCAUUGCACUCCAGCCUGGUUAACAAGAGCAAAACUCCGACUCAAAAAAAAAAAAAAAAAAAAAAAAACAGAUGGAGUUUCGCUCUUGUUACCCAGACUGGAGUGCAAUGGCUCGAUCUCGGCUCACCGCAACCUCCGCCUCCUGGGUUCAGGCAAUUCUCCUGCCUCAG
RNAcentral lists this signal recognition particle RNA (274 nucleotides) under Callithrix jacchus (white-tufted-ear marmoset). Its description in RNAcentral is "Metazoan signal recognition particle RNA (ENSCJAG00000069958.1)". It matches the Rfam family "Metazoan signal recognition particle RNA". Rfam says of the family: The signal recognition particle (SRP) is a universally conserved ribonucleoprotein. The record is from Rfam by way of RNAcentral. Lineage: Eukaryota; Metazoa; Chordata; Mammalia; Primates; Cebidae.